CCGAAGAAAAAGCAUCGGCUAACUCCGUGCCAGCAGCCGCGGUAAUACGGAGGAUGCAAGCGUUAUCCGGAAUCAUUGGGCGUAAAGGGUCCGCAGGUGGCGAAUAAAGUCUGCUGUUAAAGACCGGGGCUUAACUCCGGAAAGGCAGUGGAAACUGAUUAGCUAGAGUACGGUAGGGGUAGAGGGAAUUCCCAGUGCAGCGGUGAAAUGCGUAGAUAUUGGGAAGAACACCGGUGGCGAAAGCGCUCUACUAGGCCGAAACUGACACUGAGGGACGAAAGCUAGGGUAGCGAAAGGGAUUAGAUACCCCUGUAGUCUUAGAGGUAAACGAUGGAUACUAGGUGUAGCUUGUAUCGACCCAAGCUGUGCCGAAGCUAACGCGAUAAGUAUCCCGCCUGGGGAGUACGCACGCAAGUGUGAAACUCAAAGGAAUUGACGGGGGCCCGCACAAGCGGUGGAGUAUGUGGUUUAAUUCGAUGCAACGCGAAGAACCUUACCAGGGCUUGACAUGUCGCGAAUCUAGCGGAAACGUUAGAGUGCCUUAGGGAAUGCGAACACAGGUGGUGCAUGGCUGUCGUCAGCUCGUGUCGUGAGAUGUUGGGUUAAGUCCCGCAACGAGCGCAACCCUCGUCCUUAGUUGCCAAUAUUAAGUUAGGCACUCUAGGGAGACUGCCGGGGACAACUCGGAGGAAGGUGGGGAUGACGUCAAGUCAGCAUGCCCCUUGCGUCCUGGGCGACACACGUACUACAAUGGUUGGGACAAAGGGCAGCAAGCUCGCGAGAGUAAGCGAAUCUCAUCAAACCCAGCCACAGUUCAGAUUGCAGGCUGCAACUCGCCUGCAUGAAGUAGGAAUCGCUAGUAAUCGCAGGUCAGCAUACUGCGGUGAAUUCGUUCCCGGGUCUUGUACACACCGCCCGUCACACCAUGGAAGCUGGCUACGCCCGAAGUCGUUACCCUAACCCGGUUUUGGGAGGGGGAUGCCGAAGGUAGAGCUAGUGACUGGGGUGAAGUCGUAACAAGGUAGCCGUACCGGAAGGUGUGGCUGGAUCACCUCCUUUACAGGGAGACCUAGUCUAAUUACCAAUAGAUGAAAAAGUUGGUAAUUCGCAAGAAUCCUUAGGUCGUGAAGGGAGCAAGAAAAAACUUUCAAACUGUAAUGGGUGAGGGUACUCGGGCUAUUAGCUCAGGUGGUUAGAGCGCACCCCUGAUAAGGGUGAGGUCCCUGGUUCAAGUCCAGGAUGGCCCACCUGAAAUACACAGGCAGGAUGCCACAAAAAAAGGAAAAAAUUUUAGCAUUGUCUCUUGUAAUCAAGAGCAAGAGAUAAUGCUGGAAUCUAUUCC
This 1342-nucleotide unclassified non-coding RNA is filed under the name uncultured cyanobacterium. Its description in RNAcentral is "bacterial SSU rRNA". The stretch from base 1 to 1059 matches the Rfam family "Bacterial small subunit ribosomal RNA", at positions 479 to 1533 of the family's 1533-position model. The record is from RNAcentral. Lineage: Bacteria; Bacillati; Cyanobacteriota.